GAGGGGCAAGCGUUGUUCGGAAUUACUGGGCGUAAAGGGCGCGUAGGCGGCCUUCUAAGUCGAACGUGAAAUCCCUGGGCUCAACCCAGGAACUGCGUCCGAUACUGGGAGGCUUGAAUCCGGGAGAGGGAUGUGGAAUUCCAGGUGUAGCGGUGAAAUGCGUAGAUAUCUGGAGGAACACCGGUGGCGAAGGCGGCAUCCUGGACCGGUAUUGACGCUGAUGCGCGAAAGCCAGGGGAGCAAACGGGAUUAGAUACCCCGGUAGUCCUGGCCCUAAACGAUGAAUGCUUGGUGUGGCGGGUAUCGAUCCCUGCCGUGCCGAAGCUAACGCAUUAAGCAUUCCGCCUGGGGAGUACGGCCGCAAGGUUG
Molecule: ribosomal RNA, 369 nt
Filed under: uncultured organism
Description: bacterial SSU rRNA
Rfam family: Bacterial small subunit ribosomal RNA
Source: RNAcentral